This 517-nucleotide ribosomal RNA is filed under the name Triticum aestivum (bread wheat). RNAcentral describes it as "partial small subunit ribosomal RNA". Lineage: Eukaryota; Viridiplantae; Streptophyta; Magnoliopsida; Poales; Poaceae. The record is from RNAcentral.
GUCGGAGAUCCGUCACCGGAGAUGGCCUGCAGCCGUCGUCUGUCGCCCGGAGGUUGAGGCGUCGUACCUCCAUGGCUAGGCUAGGCUAGGGUUUCUGGCAUCUCCGUCCUGGCUUCUGUCGGCCCUGGAUGGAUGGUCGCGGCUCAGGUCGACGACGGGACGAUGCGCCGUGGAUCUGGAUCUGGGCGCUCCUCACCUCCCUGGAAGCUCGCCGGAGAAGGCCUUCCCUUCCCUCCCCUCCUCUCCUCUACUGGGAGAGAAGAGGAGAGAAGAGAAGAGAAGGUGAGGUGCGGCGGCGCUGCAGGGAGAGGAGGCCGCCAUGACCGGGCUCCUCCUGCUGCCAUGGUCGCCAUGGCAUCGGGCUAGGGUCUCGGCCCGACCAGGCAGACAGAGGAGAGGAUAGGGAGGUCGCCGGCGCGGCGUGGAUGGGGAGAGGAGGCCGCCGGAGAGGUGAUGCGGAAGAGGAGAUCGGCGGCGGCGUUGGGUCAGAGCCGGAGGAGAGGCGGGUGGCUGUGUC